RNAcentral lists this ribosomal RNA (277 nucleotides) under uncultured Bacteroides sp. RNAcentral's name for it is "partial 16S ribosomal RNA". It matches the Rfam family "Bacterial small subunit ribosomal RNA", at positions 68 to 339 of the family's 1533-position model. The record is from RNAcentral. Lineage: Bacteria; Pseudomonadati; Bacteroidota; Bacteroidia; Bacteroidales; Bacteroidaceae.
CAGCAUGAACUUAGCUUGCUAAGUUUGAUGGCGACCGGCGCACGGGUGAGUAACACGUAUCCAACCUGCCGAUGACUCGGGGAUAGCCUUUCGAAAGAAAGAUUAAUACCUGAUAGUAUGGUGAGAUUGCAUGAUAGCACCAUUAAAGAUUUAUUGGUAAACGAUGGGGAUGCGUUCCAUUAGGUAGUAGGCGGGGUAACGGCCCACCUAGUCUUCGAUGGAUAGGGGUUCUGAGAGGAAGGUCCCCACAUUGGAACUGAGACACGGUCCAAACUCC